UAAAGGGAAAAGGACAAUAGAGGGAAAUAUCUUGUUCUUUAAAAAUAUAAUGAAAUGUGGUGUAGAUGUGUAAAUAAUGUAUGAAAAUUUAAUUGAUUUAUGAAGGUUUUAUUUACAUGAUUUAAUUUAAANAUGAAAUUUAAUAAUAAUAAGAAGGGAAAAUAUAUAACACAUCCUCCAAAUGAACUAACAGAGUAAGAGCAACAAAUUACGAUGUCACGGGUUGUUGUGUUUGUUUUUUUCAAUUGGGGCAAUAGGGAUGACAGAGAAAAUGUUGGAGUGAGAGAGAUGAAAGAGAAAGGAUUGAGAGAAAUGAGGGAGGUAAGUAAGGGAUUGGGGGUUUCUUUUUUUUUUUAGUUUUGAGAAUAAAAAUUAUUUAAAUAUCCUUGAUUUUAAAACUUAGAAUCCAUGAUAAAUGAGAGUAUUUUUGUCUACUAUAAUCCGAUACACAUUGUUAAAACUUACCAACUGAAAAACAGGCAUGCGUGUUAAC
This 493-nucleotide long non-coding RNA is filed under the name Vigna radiata. RNAcentral's name for it is "long non-coding RNA (VRAD_LNC013342)". Lineage: Eukaryota; Viridiplantae; Streptophyta; Magnoliopsida; Fabales; Fabaceae. The record is from RNAcentral.